CUCUGUUGUAAGGGAAGAACAAGUACAGUAGUAACUGGCUGUACCUUGACGGUACCUUAUUAGAAAGCCACGGCUAACUACGUGCCAGCAGCCGCGGUAAUACGUAGGUGGCAAGCGUUGUCCGGAAUUAUUGGGCGUAAAGCGCGCGCAGGCGGUCCUUUAAGUCUGAUGUGAAAGCCCACGGCUCAACCGUGGAGGGUCAUUGGAAACUGGGGGACUUGAGUGCAGAAGAGGAAAGUGGAAUUCCAAGUGUAGCGGUGAAAUGCGUAGAGAUUUGGAGGAACACCAGUGGCGAAGGCGACUUUCUGGUCUGUAACUGACGCUGAGGCGCGAAAGCGUGGGGAGCAAACAGGAUUAGAUACCCUGGUAGUCCACGCCGUAAACGAUGAGUGCUAAGUGUUAGGGGGUUUCCGCCCCUUAGUGCUGCAGCU
Molecule: ribosomal RNA, 431 nt
Filed under: Lysinibacillus sphaericus
Lineage: Bacteria; Bacillati; Bacillota; Bacilli; Caryophanales; Bacillaceae
Description: bacterial SSU rRNA
Rfam family: Bacterial small subunit ribosomal RNA
Source: RNAcentral